CCUACGGGGGGCAGCAGUGGGCAAUAUUGGACAAUGGGGGGAACCCUGAUCCAGCCAUGCCGCGUGUGUGAAGAAGGCCCUCGGGUUGUAAAGCACUUUCAGUGAGGAAGAACGCCUGGUGGUUAAUACCCAUCAGGAAAGACAUCACUCACAGAAGAAGCACCGGCUAACUCCGUGCCAGCAGCCGCGGUAAUACGGAGGGUGCGAGCGUUAAUCGGAAUUACUGGGCGUAAAGCGCGCGUAGGUGGCUUGAUAAGCCGGUUGUGAAAGCCCCGGGCUCAACCUGGGAACGGCAUCCGGAACUGUCAAGCUAGAGUGCAGGAGAGGAAGGUAGAAUUCCCGGUGUAGCGGUGAAAUGCGUAGAGAUCGGGAGGAAUACCAGUGGCGAAGGCGGCCUUCUGGACUGACACUGACACUGAGGUGCGAAAGCGUGGGUAGCAAACAGGAUUAGAUACCCUAGUAGUC
This 465-nucleotide ribosomal RNA is filed under the name Vreelandella stevensii. RNAcentral describes it as "partial 16S ribosomal RNA". It matches the Rfam family "Bacterial small subunit ribosomal RNA", at positions 338 to 795 of the family's 1533-position model. Lineage: Bacteria; Pseudomonadati; Pseudomonadota; Gammaproteobacteria; Oceanospirillales; Halomonadaceae. The record is from RNAcentral.